RNAcentral lists this ribosomal RNA (468 nucleotides) under uncultured bacterium. RNAcentral's name for it is "partial 16S ribosomal RNA". It matches the Rfam family "Bacterial small subunit ribosomal RNA", at positions 28 to 507 of the family's 1533-position model. The record is from RNAcentral.
GACGAACGCUGGCGGCGUGCUUAACACAUGCAAGUCGAACGGAAAGGCCCUGCUUUUGUGGGGUGCUCGAGUGGCGAACGGGUGAGUAACACGUGAGUAACCUGCCCUUGACUUUGGGAUAACUUCAGGAAACUGGGGCUAAUACCGGAUAGGAGCUCCUGCUGCAUGGUGGGGGUUGGAAAGUUUCGGCGGUUGGGGAUGGACUCGCGGCUUAUCAGCUUGUUGGUGGGGUAGUGGCUUACCAAGGCUUUGACGGGUAGCCGGCCUGAGAGGGUGACCGGCCACAUUGGGACUGAGAUACGGCCCAGACUCCUACGGGAGGCAGCAGUGGGGAAUAUUGCAAAAUGGGCGGAAGCCUGAUGCAGCAACGCCGCGUGCGGGAUGACGGCCUUCGGGUUGUAAACCGCUUUCGCCUGUGACGAAGCGUGAGUGAAGGUAAUGGGUAAAGAAGCACCGGCUAACUACGUG